AGUCAAGAAAGUCAACUAGCUCUUUGUGAAGAAUUCAGGAAAUUGAAUCUAGAACUUGUUCCCCAAGGCUAUCUUGCAAACUUGGUGGUCACACAAAUUCGUGAGGAUAAGAUACGAACCGGACAGUUAAGAGAUGGUUGUAUCAAAAACAUCAAAGAGAACAUGCAAAAGCCAAAGUACAAGUCUUUCUCUAUCAACUUCAAGGAACUUUGUUCUUCCAAGGUCGAAUCAUUGUUCCGAAGGAUCCAAACCUGAGAAGCUUCAUUCUCAAAGAAGCUCAUGACACUCCUCUCUCUAUCCACCCUGGAAGCACAAAGAUGUAUCUCGAUAUCAAGACAACCUAUUGGUGGACUAGAAUGGAAAGUGAUAUUGCUCGAUAUGUCUCGGAAUGUGAUGUAUGUCGCCGUGUCAAGGCAGAACAUCAAAGACCUGCUGGUAUCCUACAACCCCUGAAGAUUCCUAAGUGGAAAUGGGAUAAUGUUGAGAUGGACUUCAUAACUGGCUUUCCAAAGUAUGGCAAAGGCAAUGAUGCUAUCUUUGUAGUGAUCGACCGUCUUUCCAAGGUUGCUCACUUCCUUCCUGUCAAAGAAACAAUCUCUGCUAGUCAGUUGGCUGAGCUCGCAUAUAUCGUCUCUCUUCAUGGUGUUCCCUUGGAAAUAAGCUCGCAUCACGGAAGCAUCUUCACUUCCAGAUUUUGGGAAAGCUUUCAGAAGGCUAUGGAAACUAAUCUGCUCUUCAGCACAACUUAUCAUCCGCAAACGAGUGGUCAAGUUGAAAGUGUCAAUCAGAUCCUCGAAAACAUGCUCCGUGCUUGUGUAAUCUGAUUCGGCAUGAAAUGGGAAGAACGCCUUCCAUUCGCUAAAUUCUCCUACAAUAAUAGCUAUCAAGCCAGUUUGGGCAUGGCACCUUUUGAAGCUCUUUAUGGUCGCAAAUGCAGAACACCUCUAAACUGGUCUGAAACCGGUGAAAGGAAAAUCUUUAGCCCUGAUGUAAUCAACGAUGCUGAAGAAAAGGAUUUGAUGUAGCGGAUGGCUUCUCUGGGUACCCUUUGCACUUUAAGGCUGCAAGUUCCUGUGGUGUAGAUAUCACCUUCCAGCUUCACACGGCCAACAACAAAAAGGAAGAUAUUUUCUGUUCCAUUCUCCCCAUUAACCACUUAAACAGUAUGUGUUAUAUGUCACCAACACUAGCUUCUGCACACCCUAAGAAACACCAGCAUGGAAGGCUGCAUCAACCACUUAAGUAAACCUUUCUUUUUGUUGGCCCAGAUGUAUGACAUGCAAUUCACAUUCAGGGGUCUAACGCCACUUAAGUAAACCUUUCUUUUUUUUGGCCUAGAUGUAUGACAUGCAAUUCACAUUCAGGGGUCUAACGGCGGUGAUGUUAGGCAUGAGGAUUUAAAUGACAUCUUGAUUUCUUCUAUUGAUGUAGGCCUACACCUAGCUAAAGAAGGCUGAGGGGAAGCUGGACGAGCAGCAUGCCAAGGCGGUGGAGGACGAACGACAUAGCAAAGAUGCGGCGCAAUUCAGAGGAUAAGUCGGUAUGGUUGGCUGCAGCAUGCAAGGAUUUUGGAGCAGACCAGCCUCAUGAAGGACGUCCGCAGGGUGCCCACCAGGCUCUCCUUCUUCGCGUGGUCACAGCGCCACCUCUGCCUAGAGCGAGUGCAAGUGUCCAUUGCUUGAUGUGUUCAUACAUGCUGAUACAACUCUAGGUGGAACACUUUCUGACUAUGUAUUGCUAUGGAUCAAGAUCAUGUUCAAAGGCUCAGCUGGAGGGUUUUGCAGUUGAUGGUUCCGUUUUUCCAAUGCGUAAGUAUAUAGAAGAGGUGGUUCGCUGAUAGACAGAAUGGGCUUGGUUAGAUGGAGUCGCCAUAUAGCCAGUGCUCUGUUUUCUGUACUUUUCCAGCCAAUGUAUUAAAGGCUGUCCUUUUUUUGUUAGCAGUUAUUGUCUAUGGUUGCACUCAAUAAGUACAUCAAAGGCUGCUUUUUUUUUUGUUUCCUGUUGUUAUAAGGCUUCUUCUCUUAUUAUUCCAGGGGAGUUAGUUUACGUGGGCACAACUUGUAUGAGAUCUGAACCUGAAGUGAGAUCAAAGGAUUACGUAUUAUAGACCAUCGGAUGUAAAACCUGUGGUACA
Non-coding RNA from Lolium perenne, 2134 nucleotides. NCBI's taxonomy places the organism in Eukaryota, Viridiplantae, Streptophyta, Magnoliopsida, Poales, Poaceae. The record is from RefSeq and is a predicted model, not a curated record.